AGAGUGGUUCCAGGCCGGCUACUUUUCCAUGUCACUGCUGGUGAAGCGGGGCUGCGAUGAGGGCUUCCAGCCGCUGGGCGAGGUGAUCAAGAUGUGGGGCCGCGUGCCCUUUGCCCCAGGGCCCUCACCUCCCCCACUACUGGGAAACAUGGACCAGGAGCGGCUGAAGAAGCAACAGGAGCUGGCCGCGGCGGCCUUGUACCAGCAGCUGCAGCACCAGCAGUUUCUCCAGCUGGUCAGCAGGUAUGGGGGGCCUGGGGUGGGCUGGGAGAAGGCCCGGCGCUGGCUCUGUGGCCCACCAUCUCCACUGUCCCAUUUGCAGCCGCCAGCUCCCGCAAUGCGCGCUCCGAGAAAAGGCAGCUCUGGGGGACCUGACACCGCCGCCGCCGCCGCCACAGCAGCAGCAGCAGCAGCUCACGGCAUUCCUGCAGCAGCUCCAGGCGCUCAAACCCCCCAGAGGCGGGGACCAGAACCUGCUCCCGACGAUGAGCCGGUCC
This 497-nucleotide small RNA is filed under the name Pan troglodytes (chimpanzee). RNAcentral describes it as "retained intron". The record is from RNAcentral. Lineage: Eukaryota; Metazoa; Chordata; Mammalia; Primates; Hominidae.